GUGAAUCAUCAAAUCUUUGAACGCAAAUUGCGCCUUUUUCGGAAGGCAUGUCUGUUUGAGGGUACCAUUUAACAAAUAAUGUGCAUUUCGUGUGUACACGUUGAUGAGCUUUCCAAAAUUAUGUAUUAUUAUUUUUGGUGGCGCAUAAUAAACAGCGCGAUGCUUUUUCAGUUUGAGUGUAGUAAAAUUUUUUCUUGUUUGGGUUGUGAUAAGUGUGAUCGCGCAGAUGGGUGUGGAGAUUCUACUAUCCCUUCCUCAAUGCAACUUUUUCAUGCGA
This 277-nucleotide unclassified non-coding RNA is filed under the name Paraglomus occultum. RNAcentral's name for it is "partial contains 5.8S ribosomal RNA and internal transcribed spacer 2". The stretch from base 1 to 65 matches the Rfam family "5.8S ribosomal RNA", at positions 84 to 154 of the family's 154-position model. Lineage: Eukaryota; Fungi; Glomeromycota; Glomeromycetes; Paraglomerales; Paraglomeraceae. The record is from RNAcentral.